UGGGGAAUUUUGCGCAAUGGGCGAAAGCCUGACGCAGCAACGCCGCGUGCGGGAUGAAGGCCUUCGGGUUGUAAACCGCUUUCAGCAGGGAUGAAACUGACAGUACCUGCAGAAGAAGCCCCGGCUAACUACGUGCCAGCAGCCGCGGUAAUACGUAGGGGGCAAGCGUUAUCCGGAUUCAUUGGGCGUAAAGAGCGCGUAGGCGGCUUGUUAAGCGAGAUGUGAAAACCGGGGGCUUAACCCGCGGCCUGCAUCUCGAACUGGCAGGCUUGAGUCUGGUAGAGGAGUGUGGCAUUCCCAGUGUAGCGGUGAAAUUCGCAGAUAUUGGGAGGAACACCAGUGGCGAAGGCGGCACUCUGGGCCACGACUGACGCUGAGGCGCGAAAG
RNAcentral lists this ribosomal RNA (387 nucleotides) under uncultured bacterium. Its description in RNAcentral is "bacterial SSU rRNA". It matches the Rfam family "Bacterial small subunit ribosomal RNA", at positions 355 to 759 of the family's 1533-position model. The record is from RNAcentral.